AGUCGAGCGCACCUUCGGGUGAGCGGCGGACGGGUGAGUAACGCGUGGGAAUAUGCCCUUUAGUAAGGAAUAGCCACUAGAAAUGGUGAGUAAUACCUUAUACGCCCUUCGGGGGAAAGAUUUAUCGCUAAAGGAUUAGCCCGCGUUGGAUUAGGUAGUUGGUGGGGUAAUGGCCUACCAAGCCGACGAUCCAUAGCUGGUUUGAGAGGAUGGUCAGCCACACUGGGACUGAGACACGGCCCAGACUCCUACGGGAGGCAGCAGUGGGGAAUCUUAGACAUGGGGGAAACCCUGAUCUAGCCAUGCCGCGUGAGUGAUGAAGCCCUAGGUCGUAAAGCUCUUUCAGCUGUGAAGAUAUGACGUAGCAGCAGAAGAAACCCCGGCUAACUCCGUGCCGCAGCCGCGGUAAUACGAGGGGUAGCGUUGUUCGGAAUUACUGGGCGUAAAGCGCGCGUAGCGGACUAUUAAGUCAGAGUGAAAUCCCAGGGCUCAACCCUGGAACUGCCUUUGAUACUGGUAGUCUUGAGUUCGAGAGAGUGAGUGGAAUUCCGAGUGUAGAGGUGAAAUUCGUAGAUAUUCGGAGGAACACCAGUGGCGA
Molecule: ribosomal RNA, 598 nt
Filed under: uncultured Alphaproteobacteria bacterium
Lineage: Bacteria; Pseudomonadati; Pseudomonadota; Alphaproteobacteria
Description: bacterial SSU rRNA
Rfam family: Bacterial small subunit ribosomal RNA
Source: RNAcentral